This 107-nucleotide ribosomal RNA is filed under the name uncultured eukaryote. RNAcentral's name for it is "partial small subunit ribosomal RNA". It matches the Rfam family "Eukaryotic small subunit ribosomal RNA", at positions 1676 to 1785 of the family's 1831-position model. The record is from RNAcentral.
UCGCUCCUACCGAUUGGGUGAUCCGGUGAAUUGCUUGGAACAGCCACGGUGUUGAUUCAACUCUGUGGAGGUGAAGAGUUGUAAACCUUAUCACUUAGAGGAAGGAA